AUUGAACGCUGGCGGCAUGCCUAACACAUGCAAGUCGAGCGAGUGGCGGACGGGUGAGUAAUGUAUGGGGACUGCCCGAUAGAGGGGGAUAACUACUGGAAACGGUAGCUAAUACCGCAUACUAUCGCAUAACCCAUAUGGCAUUAUCUAGUCGGUGAGGUAAUGGCUCACCAAGCCGACGAUCACUAGCUGGUCUGAGAGGAUGAGCAGCAAGACUGAGAGUGAGACACGUCCGAGACUACUACGGAGGCAGGAGUGGGGAAUAUUGUGCAAAGUGGGCAACCAUGACAAAGCCAUGGCGCGUAACCGAAGAAGGCCUUAGGGUUGUAAAGUUCUUACGGUAGCGAGGCGUUAACUACAGAAGAAGCGGCGGCUAACUCCGUGCCAGCAGCCGCGGUAAUUC
RNAcentral lists this ribosomal RNA (403 nucleotides) under uncultured bacterium. RNAcentral's name for it is "partial 16S ribosomal RNA". It matches the Rfam family "Bacterial small subunit ribosomal RNA", at positions 30 to 526 of the family's 1533-position model. The record is from RNAcentral.